CUUGCUAUGGUAUAACGUUAGUGGCAAACGGGUGAGUAAUGUAUAGGAAUCUACCGUAGUAGUACCGGAACAAAUUGUUGGAAACGGCAACUAAUACCGUAUACGCCCUACGGGGGAAAAGAUUUAGUUGCUAUUAGAUGAGCCUAUAUUAGAUUAGCUAGUUGUGGGGUAAUGGCCGUACCAAGGCAGUGAUCUAUAGCUGAUCUGAGAGGAUGAUCAGCCACACUGGAACUGAGAUACGGUCCAG
Molecule: ribosomal RNA, 247 nt
Filed under: uncultured bacterium
Lineage: Bacteria
Description: partial 16S ribosomal RNA
Rfam family: Bacterial small subunit ribosomal RNA
Source: RNAcentral